CUUCUCGUAUGAACACUGAAGUUAAGCAACAUCGAGCCUGGUCAGUACUUCAAUGCGUGACUGCUGGGAAUACCAGAUACUGUAA
Non-coding RNA from Acanthosepion pharaonis, 85 nucleotides. The record is from the annotation of a GenBank genome assembly. Lineage: Eukaryota; Metazoa; Mollusca; Cephalopoda; Sepiida; Sepiidae.